RNAcentral lists this ribosomal RNA (434 nucleotides) under uncultured bacterium. RNAcentral's name for it is "bacterial SSU rRNA". It matches the Rfam family "Bacterial small subunit ribosomal RNA", at positions 8 to 429 of the family's 1533-position model. The record is from RNAcentral.
AGAGUUUGAUCCUGGCUCAGAAUCAACGCUGGCGGCGUGCCUAACACAUGCAAGUCGAACGCGAAAGUCCCGCAAGGGAUAAGUAGAGUGGCAAACGGGUGAGUAACACGUGGGUGACCUGCCUUCGAGCGGGGGAUAACGUCCCGAAAGGGACGCUAAUACCGCAUAACAUCCUGCCUUUGAAGAGGUGGAGAUCAAAGCCGGGGACCGUAAGGCCUGGCACUUGAAGAGGGGCCCGCGUCUGAUUAGCUAGUUGGUGAGGUAAUGGCUCACCAAGGCAACGAUCAGUAUCCGGCCUGAGAGGGCGGACGGACACACUGGGACUGAGACACGGCCCAGACUCCUACGGGAGGCAGCAGUGGGGAAUUGUUCGCAAUGGGCGCAAGCCUGACGACGCAACGCCGCGUGGAGGAUGAAGACCUUCGGGUCGUAAA